This 701-nucleotide ribosomal RNA is filed under the name uncultured fungus. Its description in RNAcentral is "SSU rRNA". It matches the Rfam family "Eukaryotic small subunit ribosomal RNA", at positions 390 to 1092 of the family's 1831-position model. Lineage: Eukaryota; Fungi. The record is from RNAcentral.
GGGAGCCUGAGAAACGGCUACCACAUCCAAGGAUGGCAGCAGGCGCGCAAAUUACCCAAUCCCGACACGGGGAGGUAGUGACAAUAAAUAACAAUACGGGGUUCUUUAGGAUCUCGUAAUUGGAAUGAGUACAAUUUAAAUCUCUUAACGAGGAACAAUUGGAGGGCAAGUCUGGUGCCAGCAGCCGCGGUAAUUCCAGCUCCAAUAGCGUAUAUUAAAGUUGUUGCAGUUAAAAAGCUCGUAGUUGAAUUUCGGGGUUAGUAGGUUGGUCAUGCCUCUGGUAUGUACUGGUCUCACUGAUUCCUCCUUCCUUAUGAACCGUAAUGCCAUUAAUUUGGUGUUGCGGGGAAUUUGGACUGUUACUUUGAAAAAAUUAGAGUGUUUAAAGCAAGCUAACGCUUGAAUACAUUAGCAUGGAAUAAUGAAAUAGGACGUUCGAUCUUAUUUUGUUGGUUUCUAGGAUUGACGUAAUGAUUAAUAGGGAUAGUUGGGGGCAUUAGUAUUCAAUUGUCAGAGGUGAAAUUCUUGGAUUUAUUGAAGACUAACUACUGCGAAAGCAUUUGCCAAGGAUGUUUUCAUUAAUCAAGAACGAAAGUUAGGGGAUCGAAGACGAUCAGAUACCGUCGUAGUCUUAACCAUAAACUAUGCCGACUAGGGAUCGGAUGAUGUUAAUUUUUUAAUGACUCAUUCGGCGCCUUACG